This 484-nucleotide ribosomal RNA is filed under the name uncultured bacterium. RNAcentral describes it as "partial 16S ribosomal RNA". It matches the Rfam family "Bacterial small subunit ribosomal RNA", at positions 30 to 507 of the family's 1533-position model. The record is from RNAcentral.
AUUGAACGCUGGCGGCAGGCCUAACACAUGCAAGUCGAGCGGUUGAAGGGAGCUAGCUCCUGACUUCUGCGGAGGACGGGUGAGUAAUGCCUAGGAAUGUGCCUGGUAGUGGGGGAUAACGUCCGGAAACGGGCGCUAAUACCGCACACGUCCUGGGGGAGAACGUGGGGGAGCAUCGGCCCGCACGCUUUCAGCUGAGCAUAGGUCGGAUUAGGUAGUUGGUGGGGUAAAGGCCUACCAAGGCAACGAUCCGUAACUGGUCUGAGAGGAUGAUCAGCCACACUGGGACUGAGACACGGUCCAGACUCCUACGGGAGGCAGCAGUGGGGAAUAUUGGACAAUGGGCGAAAGCCUGAUCCAGCCAUGCCGCGUGUGUGAAGAAGGUCUUCGGAUUGUAAAGCACUUUAAGUUGGGAGGAAGGGCAGUAAGUUAAUACCUUGCUGUAUUGACGUUACCAACAGAAUAAGCACCGGCUAACUUCGUG